RNAcentral lists this unclassified non-coding RNA (590 nucleotides) under Trisetopsis junghuhnii. Its description in RNAcentral is "sequence contains ITS1, 5.8S rRNA gene, ITS2". The stretch from base 211 to 366 matches the Rfam family "5.8S ribosomal RNA". The record is from RNAcentral. Lineage: Eukaryota; Viridiplantae; Streptophyta; Magnoliopsida; Poales; Poaceae.
UCGUGACCCUUAAAACAAAACAAACCGUGAACAUGUCAUCCUGCCGUCGGGCUCCGGCCCGACAAAGGCCCCCGACCUUCUUUCGGAGGGGAUGGACCGCAAAGAACCCACGGCGCCGAAGGCGUCAAGGAAUACUUAUUUUGCCUUGCACGGGGUCGUGGUUGGCUUGCCUUCAGCGUCCUCGUGCAGCGAUUCUAUCUUAAUCCACACGACUCUCGGCAACGGAUAUCUCGGCUCUCGCAUCGAUGAAGAACGUAGCAAAAUGCGAUACCUGGUGUGAAUUGCAGAAUCCCACGAACCAUCGAGUUUUUGAACGCAAGUUGCGCCCGAGGCCUUCUGGUCGAGGGCACGCCUGCGUGGGCGUCACGCGAAAAGACAAUCCCAAACCUUCUAUGGGGCGGGAUGUGGUGUUUGGCUUCCCGUGCCUCGCGGUGCGGUGGGCCGAAGUUGGGUCUGCCGGCAUAGCGUGCCGGGCACCGCACAUGGUGGGCGACAUCUAGUUGUUCUCGGUGCAGUGUCCCAGUACAUAGCUAGCUUCUUGGCCCUGAGGACCCAUUGACCGUACCGCUUUGUCGCUCGGACCGCGACCC